UUUGUUUCUUUUUUUUCCUUUCAGUUGUGUAGGCUUAUUGUUUGUCCUGCUCGGUUGUUGUCCCUCAGCUGUGUUACCGCCUCACACACACACACAGAGACAGACACACACAGGGACAGACACACACACACACAGGGACAGACACACUCUCCCUGACAGACUCGCUCCACGGCUCUUCAGCGCUCUCCCCUCACGCGGCGCUAUUUUGACAGUCGGGGUCGCAGUGAACCGAGCCAAGCUAGCACGUUAGCAUCGAUAGACCUUGACGGGAUCUUUUCCACCCGGACACCGAGACCCACGGCCGGCGACACGGGCUCCUGACGGGAGGACAGACCAUGCUGCUGCACUGAGCCGGAGGGAGAGGAAAGAGAGAGCCCUUAGAGGACCGCUGACGUGGUGGCUGGCCAGUUUUUGUGCCCCUCCUCCUUAUCUGACGGCUGUCUUUUCAGUUCACCCUAUUGGUCUCCACCCCGAGGGCUCAGGCUUGCUAUGGACGUUGCUUUGCCCCCUGCUGCAGCCCUGACCAGUGCCCUACCUUAGUGGGUUCCCCUCUUCUUCCUGUGUGUGGUUCCCAUCCAGACUCACUGUACAGAGUCCAGCACAGAUCUGGUACCACCUACAGCCACUCCUGGGUCCUCCACCCAACCCCCUCCCCU
Long non-coding RNA from Limanda limanda (common dab), 656 nucleotides. RefSeq lists it as uncharacterized. NCBI's taxonomy places the organism in Eukaryota, Metazoa, Chordata, Actinopteri, Pleuronectiformes, Pleuronectidae. The transcript has 5 exons. The record is from RefSeq and is a predicted model, not a curated record.